GUUUGAUCCUGGCUCAGAUUGAACGCUGGCGGCGUGCUUAACACAUGCAAGUCGAGCGGUAACAGGUGUAGCAAUACAUGCUGACGAGCGGCGAACGGGUGAGUAAUGCUUCGGAAUCUACCCAAUGGUGUGGAAUAACCAGCCGAAAGGUUGGCUAAUACCGCAUGAGCCCUACGGGGGAAAGCAGGGGAUCGCAAGACCUUGCGCCGAUGGAUGAGCCGAAGUCGGAUUAGCUAGUUGGUAGGGUAACGGCCUACCAAGGCGACGAUCCGUAGCUGGUCUGAGAGGACGACCAGCCACACUGGGACUGCGACACGGCCCAGACUCCUACGGGAGGCAGCAGUGGGGAAUAUUGGACAAUGGGGGCAACCCUGAUCCAGCGACGCCGCGUGUGUGAAGAAGGCCUGCGGGUUGUAAAGCACUUUUAGUGGGGAUGAAAAAUUCAGGGCUAAUAUCCCUGGGUCUUGACCUAACCCAAAGAAAAAGCACCGGCUAACUCUGUGCCAGCAGCCGCGGUAAUACAGAGGGUGCAAGCGUUAAUCGGAAUUACUGGGCGUAAAGCGUGCGUAGACGGUUAGAUAAGUCGGGUGUGAAAGCCCCGGGCUCAACCUGGGAAUUGCAUUCGAGACUGUUUAGCUAGGGUACGGAAGAGGGAAGCGGAAUUUCAGGUGUAGCGGUGAAAUGCGUAGAUAUCUGAAGGAACACCAGUGGCGAAAGCGGCUUCCUGGUCCAGUACCGACGUUCAGGCACGAAAGCGUGGGGAGCAAACAGGAUUAGAUACCCUGGUAGUCCACGCCAUAAACGAUGAGAACUAGACGUUGGGGGGGUAAGCCUCUCAGUGUCGCAGCUAACGCGCUAAGUUCUCCGCCUGGGGAGUACGGCCGCAAGGUUGAACUCAAAGGAAUUGACGGGACCCGCACAAGCGGUGGAGCAUGUGGUUUAAUUCGAUGCACGCGAGACCUUACCUGUCCUUGACAUCUCAGGACCCUGAGAGAUUUAGGGUGCGUAAGAGCCUGGAGACAGGUGCUGCAUGCUGUCGUCAGCUCGUGUCGUGAGAUGUUGGUUAGUCCCGCAACGAGCGCAACCCUGGUCCUUAA
This 1097-nucleotide ribosomal RNA is filed under the name uncultured Pseudomonadota bacterium. RNAcentral describes it as "bacterial SSU rRNA". It matches the Rfam family "Bacterial small subunit ribosomal RNA", at positions 11 to 1114 of the family's 1533-position model. The record is from RNAcentral. Lineage: Bacteria; Pseudomonadati; Pseudomonadota.